UAGGGAAUCUUCGGCAAUGGACGAAAGUCUGACCGAGCAACGCCGCGUGAGUGAAUAAGGUUUUCGGAUCGUAAAACUCUGUUGUUAGAGAAGAACAAGGACGUUAGUAACUGAACGUCCCCUGACGGUAUCUAACCAGAAAGCCACGGCUAACUACGUGCCAGCAGCCGCGGUAAUACGUAGGUGGCAAGCGUUGUCCGGAUUUAUUGGGCGUAAAGCGAGCGCAGGCGGUUUCUUAAGUCUGAUGUGAAAGCCCCCGGCUCAACCGGGGAGGGUCAUUGGAAACUGGGGGACUUGAGUGCAGAAGAGGAGAGUGGAAUUCCAUGUGUAGCGGUGAAAUGCGUAGAUAUAUGGAGGAACACCAGUGGCGAAGGCGGCUCUCUGGUCUGUAACUGACGCUGAGGCUAGAAAGCGUGGGGAGCAAACAGG
This 429-nucleotide ribosomal RNA is filed under the name Gemmatimonadota bacterium. RNAcentral describes it as "Gemmatimonadetes bacterium partial 16S ribosomal RNA". It matches the Rfam family "Bacterial small subunit ribosomal RNA", at positions 355 to 776 of the family's 1533-position model. Lineage: Bacteria; Pseudomonadati; Gemmatimonadota. The record is from RNAcentral.